CAAAAUUGUUAUAAGAACAUACUUUUUUGUCCUGUUUGUUUCCAAGCUGAAGCAACAGAAAAAGUCCCCUUUUUUAUGAAAUAAGGAGACGUGGUAUGAUUGGCAAUGUGACAGCAAUUUCCAAAGUUUUAUUAGGAAUGUAUGAAUGCUUAACAACUAUUUCAGAUUUGCCUCUUAAAUUUCAUCCUUAAAGUUACCCAUAC
RNAcentral lists this long non-coding RNA (203 nucleotides) under Mytilus galloprovincialis (Mediterranean mussel). The record is from RNAcentral. Lineage: Eukaryota; Metazoa; Mollusca; Bivalvia; Mytilida; Mytilidae.